AACACACCCACUCAGCUGAAAAGAAAAGAGGGAGAGGAGAAGAGAAAACACUAUUCACCUACAACUUCAAUUCGCGAUAUCUCGAGCUACGGUGCUUCGAUUCGCCUGCCGUCAGCGGUUAUGCGAAGCUCUCGCUGAGCCCGUCACUUCUGUCCAAGAUUUAUGGUAAGCUUUUUGAAUUUUCAUGCCCAGUUUUCGUUCCCUUGUGAAAUUCGAAUUUUGGGUUUUGGUUUUGAGUGAAAUCUUGUGUUUUGGGUGUUUAGGUACACUCUAGCCCUUGAUUGAUGUUGGUUUUGGCUUUUAAAACUGUUGGACAAGCUUGAAGUUGAUAUUAUUGAAAAUUUGUUGGAGCUUGUUGGUGAAUUGUUGGUGGCUUGGAUUGUGGUGGAAAGCUCAAUUUGUGCUCAUUUGGGGUUUUGGUGCAUAUAGAAAAUCGGCCAAGAUGCAGGUCGCAACCCACCUCGGUGAGUUGUUUCGGAUGGUGACAGAAGCUGAGGAUCAUGAUACUUUUGAAGUUCUUUUGUUUAUUUUGUUUAUAUAUCUCUCACUUUUGUAUCUUGCUUUUUCCUAGAGGUUUGUAUUGAGAGAGAAAAACUUGUAUAAGCUAUUUUUUAACUUCAGAUUCUGUUUAAUUCUGUAUAUAUGGCUAGCCGGCUUAAACUCCACGAGC
Molecule: non-coding RNA, 670 nt
Organism: Arachis ipaensis
Lineage: Eukaryota; Viridiplantae; Streptophyta; Magnoliopsida; Fabales; Fabaceae
Source: RefSeq, a predicted model, not a curated record